GUUGUGGCUCAGUGGUAGAGCACUUGCCUGGCAUGUGUGAGGCCCUGGGUUCAAUCCUCAGCCCCACA
This 68-nucleotide transfer RNA is filed under the name Marmota monax (woodchuck). RNAcentral's name for it is "tRNA.Ala". The stretch from base 4 to 62 matches the Rfam family "tRNA", at positions 7 to 64 of the family's 71-position model. From Rfam's summary of the family: Transfer RNA (tRNA) molecules are approximately 80 nucleotides in length. Their secondary structure includes four short double-helical elements and three loops (D, anti-codon, and T loops). Lineage: Eukaryota; Metazoa; Chordata; Mammalia; Rodentia; Sciuridae. The record is from RNAcentral.